This 315-nucleotide small nuclear RNA is filed under the name Rattus norvegicus (Norway rat). RNAcentral describes it as "7SK RNA". It matches the Rfam family "7SK RNA". Rfam says of the family: 7SK was discovered as an abundant small nuclear RNA in the mid-70s but a possible function has only recently been suggested. Two independent studies have found that 7SK RNA binds the CDK9/cyclin T complex (known as elongation factor P-TEFb). Lineage: Eukaryota; Metazoa; Chordata; Mammalia; Rodentia; Muridae. The record is from Rfam by way of RNAcentral.
GGAUGUGACAGUUAUCUGGCUGUGACAUCUGUCACCCUAUGAUCACCAAGGCUGAUUUGGCUGAUAUGGCAGUCUAGACAGGUGUCCUCUUCUCUCUCUACUCUCUGUGUCUCUCCCAAAGCUGUGUGCUUGGACAGAGGAUGACCUCCGUUUGAGGAGGAACAGUCUUCAGUCAAGGCUAUAGGGGUGACUGUGCUCCCUUGCCAGAACCCCCUAACAAGCCCUCAGUAUCCCAGUACACACUACAUUAGCCCCUGGGGAACAUUUCCUAUUCAAACCUUAACAAGUGCACAGUGGUCAGAGCAGACCUGAUUU